This is a long non-coding RNA of Pezoporus occidentalis (night parrot), 720 nucleotides long. RefSeq lists it as uncharacterized. The record is from RefSeq and is a predicted model, not a curated record. NCBI's taxonomy places the organism in Eukaryota, Metazoa, Chordata, Aves, Psittaciformes, Psittacidae. The transcript has 3 exons.
UGACCAUUUUUAUGAUCGCAGUGUAACAAAAAUUGUGUAUGCAAAGCUAGGAACAUGCCAUGAUUAAGAAUAUGGAACAUGACAAAUCUACUGUGAUCUGAACCAGAACAUUUUUUUCAGGUGGAAAUAACCCUGUGUUGAAUGAAUGACAGAAGAGAGACUUGGGGUUCCAGGCUGGAGCAAGAUGAGUGGUGUCAACUGCAUGUAAGCGCAAAAGUAACAGCCCCUACAAAGGUGGUCUUCAUCAAGAGUUACUGCUAGCUCAAGGAACUCUCCUGUGAAACUUCUUCUCAAGGCUGCAUGCCAGAUUCAGAUCUUUAGGCAGGGGAAAGGCCUAACCAUCCCAAGAGGAAUCUGGGCAUGGUAGGGUAAGAUGGCGCACAGAAACCCAUAUGUGGUGACUGCAGCCAUCAAGAAGACUUUUAGUGAGACAUUCAGGAAACCAGAAACCUAACAGGUUGCCAGGAGCUGCAGGAAUGAGACACAUCAAUCUGUGACUAUCCACAAGGGGCCAAAACCUCAUGGACUGAUUAUGGCGCUACUAAAUUCUGUGCAGUACUAAUUUGUGCAGCAAAUCCCAUUGGUUCCAAAGGAAAAUCACCUUAGGAUUUGCUUUAUGUGAAGAAAAUGAAUUAAACAUACGUGAAACCAUACAAAUAAAUCUCAAUGUCUUUUUAUAAAAGAGAAGAAACUCUCAAUAUAAUUCUUCCUUCUGAUAGC